Molecule: ribosomal RNA, 465 nt
Filed under: uncultured bacterium
Lineage: Bacteria
Description: partial 16S ribosomal RNA
Rfam family: Bacterial small subunit ribosomal RNA
Source: RNAcentral
GACGAACGCUGGCGGCGUGCUUAACACAUGCAAGUCGUACGGUAAGGCCCUUUCGGGGGUACACGAGUGGCGAACGGGUGAGUAACACGUGAGUAACCUGCCCACAACUUUGGGAUAACGCUAGGAAACUGGUGCUAAUACUGGAUAUGUGCUCCUGCUGCAUGGUGGGGGUUGGAAAGCUCCGGCGGUUGUGGAUGGACUCGCGGCCUAUCGGCUUGUUGGUGGGGUAGUGGCCUACCAAGGCGGCGACGGGUAGCCGGACUGAGAGGGUGACCGGCCACAUUGGGACUGAGAGACGGCAGAGACUGCGAAGGGAGGGAGAAGGGGGGAAUAUUGCACGAGGGGCGCAAGCCUGAUGAAGAAACGCCGCGUGCGGGAUGACGGUCUUAGGGUUGAAAACCGCUUUCAGCAGGGACGAAGCUUUUUGUGACGGUACCUGCAGAAGAAGCAACGGCUAACUACGUG